UACAUGAGUGGUGAGCAUUAUUCGUAUUGAUUGGGCGUAAAGGAUGCGUAGAUUGUUAAAAAUAUUAUAUUUAACUAAAACAUUUGUUUAUUGGGAUCUAAUAUAAUUUUUUUAUACUUGAGUUAAAAAAAAAUUAAUAGACUUAGUUUACUAGUGAUUAAAUACAGAAAGUAAACUAUUGCUACUAAAGGCGAAAGCAAUUAAUUAUUUUUAACUGACGUUGAUGCAUAAAAGUACAGGUAGUGAGAAGGAUUAGGCACCCUAGUAGUCUGUACUGUAAAAGAUGAAUACUAAAUUUUAUUAAUUUUAGUUAACACGUAAGUAUUCCGCCUGGGGAGUAUAGUCGCAAGAUUUAAACUUAACAAAAUUGGCGGGAAUUUGUUCAAACGGUGGAACAUGUGGUUUAAUUCGAUAAUCCGCGAAAAAUCUUACCAGCGUUUUUUUAAUUUUAAAAAAAAUUAAAGUUUUUUUUUUUUAAUUAAAUUUGGUGUUGCAUGGCUGUCGUCAGUUCGUACUGUGAGGUGUAGAAUUAAGUUUUUUAUACGAACGCAACCCCAAUUAUCUAAUUUAAUUUAUAUUUUUUAGAUUAUUUUUUUUUUAAAAAUAUUUUUUAUUUUUUUAAAAAAAUGAAAUUUGGGAUGAAGUCAAGUCCUUAUGGCCUUUUUACGCUGGGCUACACACGUGUUACAAAAACAAAAACAAAGAGUUGCGAUGAUGUAAAUUAAAGCAAAUCUCCAAAAAUUGUUUUAGUUCAGAUUGUUUUCUGAAAUUCGAAAACAUGAAGCUGAAAUCGUUAGUAAUCGUAAAUUAGUACGUUACGGUGAAUUUAAAAUCAAAUUUUGCACACACCGCCCAUCACGCUCGAAGAAUUAUGACGGUUAGAAAUUAUCGAUUUUUUUUUAUUUCAUAGAUUAAUAUUGAUAGUCAAUACCAGAUUGGUAAUUUGAGUGAAGUUG
RNAcentral lists this ribosomal RNA (956 nucleotides) under Coleps sp. RNAcentral's name for it is "partial small subunit ribosomal RNA". It matches the Rfam family "Bacterial small subunit ribosomal RNA", at positions 524 to 1488 of the family's 1533-position model. The record is from RNAcentral. Lineage: Eukaryota; Ciliophora; Prostomatea; Prorodontida; Colepidae.